UCUCUCUCUCUCUCUCACGAUGUCCGCAUCUUUCCCUCUCUCUGUUUCUCUCUCUAAAGUCUCUGUGUGAAUACACAACGCCGACGGGCUGGAGUUGUUCUGCGCCGCUCAUCCUCUACGCCUCCUCGGUCCUGCUCCACCACCACAGCCACUAUGCCCUUCGUCCUGGUCGCUUGGUUACACCAAAAAGUAGGAGGAAAGACAUUUUCGAGGAGUCAUCACUUUGGAGGAAUGUAAUAUUGAAGAGGUAUCAGAUGAGGAAGAACCUCCAUCAAAGAGCUCAGAGGAUAAGAAGGCUAAUGGGCCAGAUUCUGGAAAAGCACCCAGUCUUGUGUUCAAGAUCACUAGCAAGGUUCCAUAUAAAACUGUUUUGAA
This is a long non-coding RNA of Juglans regia (Persian walnut), 375 nucleotides long. RefSeq lists it as uncharacterized. The transcript is spliced from 3 exons. Lineage: Eukaryota; Viridiplantae; Streptophyta; Magnoliopsida; Fagales; Juglandaceae. The record is from RefSeq and is a predicted model, not a curated record.